Molecule: non-coding RNA, 2433 nt
Organism: Taeniopygia guttata (zebra finch)
Lineage: Eukaryota; Metazoa; Chordata; Aves; Passeriformes; Estrildidae
Source: RefSeq, a predicted model, not a curated record
GACUGCACUGGCAGCUGCCGGCGCUGGCCUGUCUCACCCAGCGACAGCGCGGUGAUGUCACAGUGGUGUCACAGUGCUGCGGCCAGCACAGCCCUGGGACAUCACAGCCCUGCCUGACGCCAGCGCUCUGCCCUUUGUGCCAUCACAGCCCUGCCUCAGCCCCGCCCUCCGCAGUGCCCCAGGAGGGGUAAGGGGGCUCCCUAUGGGCACUUGCCAGCUCUCUGGAGCAGAGUGGGUGGAAGAUUCUUCUUUCAGAAGGACACAGGGAUGAGGAGGGGAAUGCUGAUGGUCUCACCUCCUUGCUGGCAGAGCAUGGGACAUGGAUUGUCCAAUGUGACACUGCAACUCCUUGAGGAGGGCAAGCCCUGCUCAGUAACAUCCAAGCCAUCUGUGUGCUGUCUACCACAUUCCCGUCCUGAAUCCAAACCCAGCUCUUUGCCGCUCCCUGGGAAGAAAAUGGAUCCUAUCCCAUUGAAAACCAGUACAUCAGCCCAUUCUUCAGCCAGCACACCCUGUCUCUCUUUGUCUCACACCUGGACACCUGCUCCAGAUGUAUUCUGCGAGGGACAGGAUCAAAACUCCACUUAAAAUCCUGAAAUAGAACCUGCAUUGCCUUCCCAUCAUCCAUGAGACGGGUGACCUUAUGUUAGGGAACCAGUGAGUGGGAGCCAGGGUGCGCUUGAGUUUCGGGAAUGCCGCAUCUCCUCGUCUCCUCAUUUCCCAGGCAGACCCUGCCACGAGGGCGUGGCCGAAGCGGCCCGAGGAUCCGGGCAUUCUUAGGAGAAUGCUGGGCAAGGGCCACAGGUCGGUGACUGCAGGAAAUUGCCAGCAGGGGAGGCAGCCUUCCUUCGUACCUGAUGUGGAUUCCCUUCCCCGGACAUCCUAGAGAUUUUUUUAGGAUUGGUGACUGAUAAACACAAUGUGUUUUGAUGGAUGGUUUUAGUUAGUGGUGCUUGUUUUGUUUUGGUUGUGGAACUAUUUAUCUUGGGGUUUUUUUGUGAGUAUUUUAAAUAAGGUUUGACACAGUGAGUAGGACUGUCAUGUAGUUUAUUUUUUGUGAAAACAUAAGUAUACCUUUAGGUUAUGAAAUUGACAGGACUACUUUAUUGACUACUUACCAAGUCUUUUUUAGGAGUAAAUUUUUGUAAGUCUGAUUUUGAAAUCAAAGAAGAAAAAUGAGAAGACGAAGGAGGUAGAGAAGUUAUCUCCUUCUAGGAUAGAAAGGGUUUAACAUAGAAACUGCUUUGUCUAAUGUUGCGUGGGGCAUUUCCGUGCGACAGCCGGGCCGCCCGCGGGGCUCGGCAGCAGGAGAGCCCCGAGCCGGGCAGGGCGGGGCGCCGGGGCGGGCUCGGGGUGGAGCCGGGGCUCUGUGAGGCUCCCCCUCCUGUCCCUCUCUCUGCCCCUCUUUCCUCCUCCCCGUAUUCCUCUUCUUUCUCUCUUUCCCGCAUUUCCCACUCUCCCCAAAGCAGCUCCGUUCCCUCCCUUUCCCGCUACCCUUCCUUCCUCUUCCCCGUAUUCCUGUUCUUUGACCCCCAGACCGUCCCCUCCUCUCCCUCCCAAACCCGACCUCCCACUGCCCUCACUCCGUCCUGUCCCUGCCCCGCUACUCCGUUCUAUUCCCCCUCUCUCCCUCCUCUGUCCACCGUCCCUCUUCCUUCCCUGCCGGCCUUUUCCUUCCCUUCCCGCUUUCCUCCGCAGCCCGACCUCCCUCCCACCCUUCCGCAUGCCCCGCUCUCCCUCCUCUCUUCCCGCCUAAAACCUGGCAAGUGUUUCGUUUUUAUAGGUAUUGGUAAAGAAUAGGUAUCUAUGGCUAAAUUCAUUUGGAAAGAAGCCCUCUCUCUAUCCAUUCAUUUGUAUCCAGGAAUGUAGGAAAUUCUGACUAGUGCUGAACCAAGCAAGUGCCCUGAAACCAUCGGAGCAGCUGCAGGGGCUGAAGGGAACAGGAAGGGCUCUCCGGCACCUUUUGCCUCCGUUCUCUGCCAUUCUCCGUCGCAGUCCCGGAAGAGGCGUCUGUCAUGCAGCCUGCCAAAAUGAAGACCUGUAAAAUCCUAGCUCUGCCUUUUGUUUAAGGUGUUUUUACUUCAUAUUUAUGUCAUCACAGAAAGCAAGGAAAGAAGAAAUGUGACUGGUUCCCACUAUUGCUCCGUGCAGGCACUUUUAAAGGCUGCUGUACUUAUGUUCUCUUUUUCCACUCCAAGCUUGACUUUCCCCCUCCUUUUUCGAGGUCUGCCGCUUUGGGUGUCCCAAGGAGGGCAGGGUUCCUCAGCAGGGGUCUUAGGAGUUGGUGCUGAUUCUGCUUUUUCCAAAGGUGUAUCGAAGUGUGCUACCAAAAUGACUAUUUUCUCCACGGGAAAGCUUUCUCUCAAUGACAAUCAAUGCAUGUAUGUGUUUUAACCGUGUAACCAGAUGGAUUAAGAAAAACCAACACCCGUA